AAGCCCUGUAGUCGAAAGUUCGUUCCCUCCUGAGUGGAUCCUGAGUACGGCGGAACACGUGAAAUUCCGUCGGAAUCCGGGAGGACCAUCUCCCAAGGCUAAAUACUACCUAGUGACCGAUAGUGAACCAGUACCGUGAGGGAAAGGUGAAAAGCACCCCGGAAGGGGAGUGAAAGAGAUCCUGAAACCGUGUGCCUACAAGUAGUUAGAGCCCGUUAAUGGGUGAUAGCGUGCCUUUUGUAGAAUGAACCGGCGAGUUACGAUUACGUGCGAGGUUAAGCUUUAGAAGGCGGAGCCGCAGCGAAAGCGAGUCUGAAUAGGGCGAAAUAGUACGUGGUCGUAGACCCGAAACCAGGUGAUCUACCCAUGUCCAGGGUGAAGGUAAGGUAACACUUACUGGAGGC
RNAcentral lists this ribosomal RNA (404 nucleotides) under Lysinibacillus fusiformis. RNAcentral's name for it is "partial 23S ribosomal RNA". It matches the Rfam family "Bacterial large subunit ribosomal RNA", at positions 368 to 773 of the family's 2925-position model. The record is from RNAcentral. Lineage: Bacteria; Bacillati; Bacillota; Bacilli; Caryophanales; Bacillaceae.